RNAcentral lists this ribosomal RNA (725 nucleotides) under Citrobacter amalonaticus. RNAcentral describes it as "bacterial SSU rRNA". It matches the Rfam family "Bacterial small subunit ribosomal RNA", at positions 32 to 742 of the family's 1533-position model. Lineage: Bacteria; Pseudomonadati; Pseudomonadota; Gammaproteobacteria; Enterobacterales; Enterobacteriaceae. The record is from RNAcentral.
GGGGUAAGGGGGCGGGCCUACACAUGCAGUCGUACCAAGGUAACGCAAGCAGCUUGCUGCUUUGCUGACGAGUGGCGGACCGUUGAGUAAUGUCUGGGAAACUGCCCGAUGGAGGGGGAUAACUACUGGAAACGGUAGCUAAUACCGCAUAAUGUCGCAAGACCAAAGAGGGGGACCUUCGGGCCUCUUGCCAUCGGAUGUGCCCAGAUGGGAUUAGCUAGUUGGUGAGGUAACGGCUCACCAAGGCGACGAUCCCUAGCUGGUCUGAGAGGAUGACCAGCCACACUGGAACUGAGACACGGUCCAGACUCCUACGGGAGGCAGCAGUGGGGAAUAUUGCACAAUGGGCGCAAGCCUGAUGCAGCCAUGCCGCGUGUAUGAAGAAGGCCUUCGGGUUGUAAAGUACUUUCAGCGGGGAGGAAGGGGUUAAGGUUAAUAACCUUAGCCAUUGACGUUACCCGCAGAAGAAGCACCGGCUAGCUCCGUGCCAGCACCCGCGGUAAUACGGAGGGUGCAAGCGUUAAUCGGAAUUACUGGGCGUAAAGCGCACGCAGGCGGUCUGUCAAGUCGGAUGUGAAAUCCCCGGGCUCAACCUGGGAAACUGCAUUCGAAACUGGCAGGCUUGAGUCUCGUAGAGGGGGGUAGAAUUCCAGGGUGUAGCGGUGAAAUGCGUAGAGAUCUGGAGGAAUACCGGUGGCGAAGGCGGCCCCCUGGACCGAAAACUG